AGAGACCCAAAACCUAAAUCCCUAACUAAAACACGCACUGUUCCUCUUCUCCAAAUCGAAUCCAGCCCUAUUUCAGCCUAAAUCCAUGGCGAGUGACUCCACACUCAUAACCACACGUUCCUCCUUCUCUCCUCAUCACCAUUUCUAACAGUUUCUGACACCGAAGAUUCUCCUUCCUUUCGCUUGAUCGAUUUUGAGAUAAGGCACGCGAUUGGAAGGUCCUAAAGACGAUUCGUUGGAUGAGUGUGAGACGUUGGAUUGUUUUCGUUCAAUCCGAGCCCCACAUUCAUCAGGGGUUCGUUUUUAUAAGGGAUCAGAUCCAAUUUUGAAGAGGGAGGAUAUUUUCAGAGGGACUUGGGAAAAUUUCAACAGAGAGGAUCUUGGGAAGAGAUUUGAGAGAUUUCUUUUCUCCAUUUUAUUUGUUCCUUCAAUUCUGAUACUAAAAAAGCAGAAAAAGAAUCAUUGAGUUUUUUUUUGCUGUUUCAUUUUCAUGGCGACCAUUGUUUAAAUCUUCUUUUUUUUUUCAAAUCUCUAGAACUCAUCUUCUUCAUUUUGAUUCUAGAUUUUAGUUUAAAAAAUGGAAAUCAUUUGAAAAGUUUGAGGCUGUUGCUGCUCAAGGACUAAUUUAGCUGCUAUUUGCUUCCUCUUGGUCGAUUUCAAUGUUGUACUAAUUCAGUUUCUCAACUCCAGGUUCAUUUCUCUUCUUCAUUUUAGUUCCCAUUGUAAAUCGAUCUCUGAAUGAGCUAUAAAUGGGUUGAAGUUUGAAAUAAUGACUGAGAUUUGUGUAGUUAUCGUAGGUUCAUCUUGCUGCUCUGUUUUAUUUUUUUUAUUUGUAUCAGCUUCUUCUAUGAUUUCAUAUGUGUACUAAGGAAUGUUUGUAUGAUCCUCUAGUCUCAGAAUCCAUCGAAACAUGUGAUUUGUGUGCUCGUCUGCCUCUUCUGUCAUUGUCCAGCCAUAGUCGAUUUCUUUUUUGUGUGUAAAUGUUUAGGGGUUGGUUCUCAAAUGGCUUGAAGAUUAACUCUGCUCAUUUUCUUUGUAGUGGACAGUCAAAAUUGGUUUGAUUGGUGGUCGACUGAGUUUGAGUGGCUCGUGUGUUUGUUUUCAUGCUUGUUUGUGUACUGGUCGCAAAUCAGUCGAGUUUGUUAGUUUAGUUCAUACACUCGUGCUGAAAAUGCCCAGACUAUCUUGGCACAUGUUUUCCAAUUCGUUUUCACCUUUGAAUGAGAUCAUAUCAUCUUAGCUCUCAAGCAUUUUUAGUUAGUUGGAGAAAACUCGGUAAUGCCCUGUUUCUCAGCAGAUUCUGUGAAAAUUUUAAAGGCUGGAUAUUCGGAUGUCUUUCAUGCUUGGUUCCUUUACUAUGCAAACUUCUGAGAUUUGAAAUUCAUCUGAACCAAGUAUGGUAAUCGAUUUGCUAGAAUCCGGGUUGCUUGUUUGAUGAAAUUAAACUAAUUCCCGUUACUGUUUCCCUCUGUUAAGAAAACAUCAAUAUGACCCCUCUUUGGUCAUGCUUUGAGUGAACUUUCAGCAUCCAUGUUGGAGGUUCAAAUGAAUGAUGUUUGAGAUCUUAUCAAAUGUUUGGUUUCUGCUUCAUAAUUGAUACCCAAAGCAGCCUUAGCUUGUUUAACGAUACUCAAACCAGUAUCAAAUGCUAAUUGGGUUUUGGCUGUUAUUCCAGCUGCAAGUGAUGAUUGAAGUUGAGCUGUUUCUUUGAAUGCGCAUAUGUUGGAUCAUUUUGAUUUUUUUUCUCUGGUUGAAACCUCCUCAGAUUCUAAGAGCCAGAUGGAUGAUUCAUUCUCUCGUAAUUGAAAGAGUUCUUGCAUGAUUGCUAUAUUUGAAUGCAGAUUUGAAAUGGUUUUAAUUGUCCUUGCAAAUGGAUCAAGUCUGCUUUGUUUUCUUGUAAAUAUUUAGCUGCAGUUUGGUUUUUUUAGCAUCAGUUGGAUGAAAUGCUCGGAAGCUUCUUUACUGAUUUUCCUUUGCCUUAAUAUAGACACUAGUUGAAUCAUCUUGCUUUCUGUAAAUCUUAGUGUUGGUUAAGCUUUAAGCUAAAGGUUCUCAUGUUGCCUCAUCUAUUUGAGCUUCACGUCUAGAUGUUGACAGUUAAAUCAUUCUUAAGAAACUAAAUAUUUUGUAGUCUUCCACUCUCAGUUUCUCUUUGUCCCUUUGGCAUAGUAUUUUGGCAGGAGUGUUUAUCUUAUUCAGUUUGAUUUAUUAGGCAAUGAAGCAGCGUUCUGCUAAUGAACAGCUCACCAAACCUUCUUUGGCAAUUAAUUUCUCAAGUUUGCUUGUUGUUGCUGAUGCGUGCUGGGGCAAUUUUUUUUUUACUUAAUAAUCUGGGCUUGUGUAUUGGACUGUCUGCUUAAAGUCAGAAUGCAAUUUAGCGAGUGAUAUAUAGAUGUAAUGUCGGUCUCUC
Molecule: long non-coding RNA, 2410 nt
Filed under: Nicotiana tabacum (common tobacco)
Lineage: Eukaryota; Viridiplantae; Streptophyta; Magnoliopsida; Solanales; Solanaceae
Description: long non-coding RNA (NTAB_LNC018459)
Rfam family: MIR6151 microRNA precursor family (bases 231-301)
Source: RNAcentral